This 427-nucleotide ribosomal RNA is filed under the name uncultured bacterium. Its description in RNAcentral is "bacterial SSU rRNA". It matches the Rfam family "Bacterial small subunit ribosomal RNA", at positions 355 to 774 of the family's 1533-position model. The record is from RNAcentral. RNAcentral also lists the same sequence under 1 other name.
UAGGGAAUCUUCCACAAUGGACGAAAGUCUGAUGGAGCAACGCCGCGUGAGUGAAGAAGGUUUUCGGAUCGUAAAACUCUGUUGUAAGGGAAGAACACGUACGAGAGUAACUGCUCGUACCUUGACGGUACCUUAUUAGAAAGCCACGGCUAACUACGUGCCAGCAGCCGCGGUAAUACGUAGGUGGCAAGCGUUGUCCGGAAUUAUUGGGCGUAAAGCGCGCGCAGGCGGUCCUUUAAGUCUGAUGUGAAAGCCCACGGCUCAACCGUGGAGGGUCAUUGGAAACUGGGGGACUUGAGUACAGAAGAGGAAAGCGGAAUUCCAAGUGUAGCGGUGAAAUGCGUAGAGAUUUGGAGGAACACCAGUGGCGAAGGCGGCUUUCUGGUCUGUAACUGACGCUGAGGCGCGAAAGCGUGGGGAGCAAACA